RNAcentral lists this long non-coding RNA (1116 nucleotides) under Homo sapiens (human). RNAcentral describes it as "HSALNT0327647". Lineage: Eukaryota; Metazoa; Chordata; Mammalia; Primates; Hominidae. The record is from RNAcentral.
AGCGACUCGUGGGCGUCAAUACUGGGCUGAGUUUGUGGCGCGCUUAGUGAUGGGAUGGCCCUGUGCAGGACGCCGACACGAAAAGAUGAAGAGUUCAAUCCGUGCUGUCUGAACUCACAGUGUAGCAGGCGAGAUAGACGGGAAGAUCGGUAGGGUGGGAGAUGCCGGAAAGGCUUCCCGUGAGACUGGAUAAGAAAUCAAAAAUCUGGUGAAAUUGCCGGCAAGAGGGAGUUAAGGACAUUCCAGGCAGAGGCAAGGACUAUCAUAUAGGAAAUGGAUGUGAGAAUGGAUUGGUUAAUAACAACAACAACAACAACAACAAGAGAGAAAGCCUUUUGAAGGCAUCUUGCCCCUUGAGAUAGGGUGGGGCUGGGAACUGCCUUCAGCUCCCUGCAACAGAAGAACCCAAAAGGGUGGACCUGAAGGAGGAGGGCUGCAGGCAUUUGCCUCAGCGGAGAGGCUGCUCUGUGGAGGGGACGCAUAGUGGCUGAGCACUGUUCCAGCCGACCACCCUGUGCUUCUGCAUUGAGGAUGAGGAUGCCGAGGUCAUGGGAUUUAUCCAAGAGACUUAGUGAAUUCAGUAGUCUGGGCUACAGUGAUCGUCUAAUCAGUAAUAGGAGAGAAAUCAGUAAUAAUAAUAGAAUAAGAGGAGAAUUCCUCAUAUUCCCAAAGAUACACUGAACCCUCCUCCCGACCCCCACCCAAUAAAGCUCAGCCACAAACACAUCAGCUCCUAAUGUCUUACUGGUGAAUACACACCAUUCAAUUUUAUUGUUUCUGUACCAACUCAUCCACUUGACAAGCUCAGAGUUCUGUCAUGCAAUUCAUUCCUCCACAGGGAGGGAUCUUAGCACAGCAGCAAGGGAAGCCUUGUCCCUGGGAAGCUAUAGACCUCAUUGUUUCAGAAAGCAUUCCAGAUGGUUCUGCUGGAGCUGGCUUCCCUUUAUGAGAGCCCUUCCUGAGAAGGCAGAAAGUUGGCCCCAUAGAGAAGAAAAGGACCCCAGGACUGUGCAAGUCAGUCAUAUCCAGAGCAUCCCUCCCACCCUGGAACCAGCAGCCAAUAGUUUUACCUCAUAGGACUCCUCGUCACCAGCCACCAUGCCCACAGUCUUUAUG